RNAcentral lists this unclassified non-coding RNA (152 nucleotides) under soil metagenome. RNAcentral describes it as "partial internal transcribed spacer 1". The record is from RNAcentral.
CCGAGUUUACAACUCCCAAACCCCUGUGAACAUACCUAUCGUUGCUUCGGCGGAUCCGCCCCGGCGCCCUCGGGCCCGGAUCAGGCGCCCGCCGGAGACCCCAAACUCUUGUAUUUCUUUAGUAUCUUCUGAGUAAACAAGCAAAUAAAUUA